AGUGAACGCUGGCGGCAGGCCUAACACAUGCAAGUCGAACGGCAGCGCAGCAGUAGCAAUACUGUGGGCGGCGAGUGGCGGACGGGUGAGGAAUACAUCGGAAUCUACCCUGUCGUGGGGGAUAACGUAGGGAAACUUACGCUAAUACCGCAUACGACCCACGGGUGAAAGCGGCGGACCGCAAGGCGUCGCGCGACUGGAUGAGCCGAUGUCCGAUUAGCUAGUUGGCGGGGUAAGAGCCCACCAAGGCGACGAUCGGUAGCUGGUCUGAGAGGAUGAUCAGCCACACUGGAACUGAGACACGGUCCAGACUCCUACGGGAGGCAGCAGUGGGGAAUAUUGGACAAUGGGCGCAAGCCUGAUCCAGCCAUGCCGCGUGUGUGAAGAAGGCCUUCGGGUUGUAAGCACUUU
RNAcentral lists this ribosomal RNA (411 nucleotides) under uncultured soil bacterium. RNAcentral's name for it is "bacterial SSU rRNA". It matches the Rfam family "Bacterial small subunit ribosomal RNA", at positions 29 to 436 of the family's 1533-position model. The record is from RNAcentral.